Danio rerio (zebrafish) is the source of this 224-nucleotide non-coding RNA. Lineage: Eukaryota; Metazoa; Chordata; Actinopteri; Cypriniformes; Danionidae. The record is from RefSeq and is a predicted model, not a curated record.
GAGUCACUGGCAUUGUCCUAAAUGUGCCAAAAUAAUAAGCAGAUCUGUAGAUUUUAAAACACACUUGCGUAAACAUGGUAGGCUAUUGUAAAUAUUCUAAAUUCUAUAAGCUUAAUGAGUGAAAUUGCAUUUUUCAACUGUAUAACUCCCUUUCUCUGCAACUACAGGUCUGAUGGUGCCAACAACAACAUCUGAAAAGAAACAACCUGAAGAUAAAGACAUCC